RNAcentral lists this non-coding RNA (64 nucleotides) under Candidatus Pelagibacter. RNAcentral describes it as "SAM-V sequence". It matches the Rfam family "SAM-V (S-adenosyl methionine) riboswitch aptamer". Rfam says of the family: SAM-V riboswitch is a cis-regulatory element that was recognised in marine bacteria it recognise S-adenosylmethione (SAM). The binding of SAM leads to the association of the triplex third strand in the aptamer of SAM-V riboswitch that stabilizes a short helix and occludes the ribosome binding site. Lineage: Bacteria; Pseudomonadati; Pseudomonadota; Alphaproteobacteria; Candidatus Pelagibacterales; Candidatus Pelagibacteraceae. RNAcentral also lists the same sequence under 1 other name. The record is from RNAcentral.
AAUUGGUAAAGGUAGUUGAACUGUAUUGUGCACCUUGCAUAGAGCUAAAGCACUAAAAAAGUAA